UGCAAAACAAAGCACAACCACAUGCUUUAUCCUCAGCACUCAAAACUCUGUUGAGCUGAAGCUCUUUAGACGGUUAUUGAACUAUUCUGUUCAAUGUCUAGUAUCAGGUCAAAAAAUGUUUCAUCUCUAUGAGUCAUAGUUUCACAAAUGCCUAACUCCUAGCCACCUUGUCAGAGACUGCUGUGGGCAACUUCAAUGCUUAUUUUGCUUUAAUUAUGGCCAUAAGGCUCGCUUUUUUGCUAAAAUGAUAGUCUUCAUUACAAAUGGAUUCUAAAGCCUGAUAAACCCUACUCCCAACAAAAGGCGGCAACUAAUCCUAUUCAGUGGUCCUUUGGCCCUAGUGCCCCAAGUGGCUCCAAAUGAAGACUGGAGGGUGCAUGAUCAGGGUUCUGGAGUAUCUCAAAAUAACUCCUCCCUAAUAGCUAGUUGAUUGUUCAAGAAGGAAGUGGUGUAGAGAUUGAAGUUAAUAUUAAUCCUUUGCAGCCCUGUCUAAGAAUGUAAAGAAACAAACUGGUAUUGCUCUACUUGUUCUCCCCAACCUACCUUCUCUUGCUGUCUACAGCAAUCAAACUGAAGCUCCGAGGGGCAGGGAUCUAAAAACAGCAAUCAUCAACUUUCUCACUGGAGGAAUAAAGCAUCUGACCAACAACCAUCCUGAAAGAACAGAUCAGUAAGGCAUUGCAUAAUACUCCACCAAUUGAUCACAGAAAGGAACACAAAAAAAUAGUGCCUGAAACAGGAAACAGUUGGAUCCCGCAUUAUGAGGAGAACACUAUCAAGUCUUUCUCAUUAUGUUGCUGAACCAAUGUCUCACAUCCAAGCAACACUCACAAAUAGCAACAUGCAAUCAACCAAAAAAUGCCACUUUAACAUCAUCAACAGGUUCAUCUCCUUUCAUCACCAGUCUUCGGUGUCUUGAUGGGCCUCCUUUUAUCAAUCUAAGCGAUAGAUUCCGGUGUCCUUGUCUAGGCGGAAGGGCUCGUGUUCUCUAAACAUUGCCAUCUGAAACUGUACCAUGAGUUUCGGCGCAACAACAUGAUAAAUGUGUUCAAUGUCGUCCGCAGCGAACAUCUAUAGUGGAAUGUUAGCUUGAGCGACUCCACCCACAGGAACAGCUUGGGCUGCUAUUGUCGCUCUUGCUAAUGCAUUUUGGAUCAAUCCAGCCUGUGUGAUCCUUUGUCUUAAUGUUGGGCUGCCUAACAAGGUACUCAGCCGCUGCUACUGCUCCUGCUUUUGCUUCACUGGGAGACAAUGGAACCCCUAACAGAAGAAAUUGAUGUAAGGUGUCUGCAAUCACUAAAGCUAUUGCUGGUGGCAUUGGAUUCAGAAGUCGAGCAGCAAGUGGCAGUACAGGCUGAACUGCUGCUGUUAUUACAGGCUCUUGCUACAGCUGCACUGUGUUGCAAAUGGUGCCAUUCUUUGAGCCCAGCUGCUGCCCCAAAUAUUGCAGCUUCGAUGUGUCCUAGUAGUCCGCCUCCAAAUGAGCUUGGCCAUUUCGCCGGCAGGGCGGUUCCAUGGAGCGUACCGGAGAACACAACAAUGAAGAUGGGUGUUGUCCAUUGCACUUGCCAACCAAAGAUUUGCACCGGGAGGUUGUAUAUCUUGCAUAAUCCUUGUGUAUUUUGCUGCAUCUGUCUUCUCGAUAACCUUGAGACGCUUAUGCAUCCGAUCAAACAAGGCCGCUUUGUUAUCUUCCUCUUCAUGACAGAAGUGGGUUUGCACGAGCAAAGAGUCUCCAAUGUUAUACUGCCUCAGAGUAUCUAAAAGGAGGGCCAAAUCUUCUGGUAACUGAAGCGAUGAAUGUAUGCCAUCCUUGAUGAGGCCGCCACCACUGACAUAUUUCUUAUAACCCUAUUCACAGUAGCACCGAUCGGUUUGACCAAUUGUAGCAUUACAUGCAUGCCUUUGAGGUUGCCCAUGUAAUCAGUUCCAAAACAGUCUCUAUUGAAACCACCAUCUAGGCAAUAUCCUAAAAGAUGCAACUCGCAGAACCAUUUCACCAAACAAUAUUUAGUCCCAAACGGUCUCCUCGUGCAAGGUGGACUACAGAUUGUUCGGUGAAAUGGUUCUGCGAGUUGCAUCUUUUAGGAUAUUGCCUAGAUGGUGGUUUCAAUAGAGACUGUUUUGGAAUUGAUUACAUGGGCAACCUCAAAAGCAUGCAUGUACUGCUACAAUUGGUCAAACCGAUCGGUGCUACU
Long non-coding RNA from Panicum hallii, 2198 nucleotides. RefSeq lists it as uncharacterized. NCBI's taxonomy places the organism in Eukaryota, Viridiplantae, Streptophyta, Magnoliopsida, Poales, Poaceae. The record is from RefSeq and is a predicted model, not a curated record. The transcript is spliced from 2 exons.